Molecule: long non-coding RNA, 1284 nt
Organism: Xiphophorus couchianus (Monterrey platyfish)
Lineage: Eukaryota; Metazoa; Chordata; Actinopteri; Cyprinodontiformes; Poeciliidae
Exons: 2
Source: RefSeq, a predicted model, not a curated record
GAAACAAAAGAAGGCAAAACUGAAACAAAAAUGUAAUGUACAUUUUUAAAUAGGCAACCUGGCAACCCCUUAACAUGACAUAUAUUUUUUUUCCUCUAUUUAUUUAAAAAUAAAUAUAUAGUCAACUAAAUGUACAUAUUUUAAGUAAAUCUGUUUCGUAAAAGUGAUUAAAAUGUACAUUACACUACAUUAUUUCUAUCUGCUUAAAAACUGAAUUUCAAACACUGUCACAUUAUGAUACUUAUGUUAUACAAACUUGACUUUUAAACAAAUAGGAGAAUUUUUAGGUAAAAUAACGCAGCGGCAAUGAAGAGCAAUCGCUAACCCUCCGCCUUCAUUUCAGAGACUUUAAAACAAACACAGACCACAAACUGUCUCCCAGCGGUCUGUGUAUGUGAUCAUGAGAAGUCUACCGAUGUUUUGUUUUUCUAGUUGUCAUAGAAAAACAAUGUAACAGGGCUUUGUUUUAACAAUGUUAUACAGGGUGGGCCAUAAGUUUCCAUACAUAGGAUAAUGUCAAAUGUAUAUGUAUUUUAUAUUUCAGAUACCCAAGAAGAUGAGUUUGACAAAAGAGCAAAGAAUUGAAAUUAUACUGAUGACUGGAUCGGGAAGCAGUUGCACGAAACUUUAACAGAAAACAUGGAACCAGCAUCAUGCAUGACACUGUGGCAAAACUUAUUUGCAAGUUUCAGAAAACUGGAAAUGUUGCAGAUCAACCACGAAGUGGUCCAAGACGGGCAGCGAUUACACAGAGUCCCACAAAAAUAAAAACUGUUGUCGAAUAUAAACUGUUUAUUUUCUCUAUGUAUGGAAACUUAUGGCCCACCCUGUAGAUGUGAAGUUUGUCAAAAUUUGUUCAUUUAUUCUUCAAAUUUAUUUUAUAUAGUCAAAAAUAUAUUUUCCCCAGACAUUUUUUUGCUGUAUAAUUUCUGUUACGCUGCUCUUGGCAGCUGGUGGUUACCGUAGCAACAAGUAACCCACAGCUCCGACCCUUUUUUCUGUUAACUACGGGCCAUGACGGUGGGUUUGGUGAAGCGCAUUAAUAAAAGGACCAGGAGGACGAUGCUGAGCAAAGCUAUCACCACCUUACAGGCUGUCAGCUGCCCCUCAAAAUCUGGGAGAUUCUCAACUGGAGACAAACAGACAAUAUUCUCUAAAGUCUUAAUGAUAACAUCAUGCAAAGUAAGGAAGGAACGAACUUUACCAAGCAUGAACAGUAUCUAAUAGCUUCAGUGGGGUUUAAAUAAAGUCAUUUGGACAGACUUCUAUGAAAUUUAGCAAAAA